RNAcentral lists this ribosomal RNA (1373 nucleotides) under uncultured bacterium. RNAcentral's name for it is "bacterial SSU rRNA". It matches the Rfam family "Bacterial small subunit ribosomal RNA", at positions 28 to 1381 of the family's 1533-position model. The record is from RNAcentral.
GAUGAACGCUGGCGGCGUGCCUAAUACAUGCAAGUCGAGCGAACGGACGAGAAGCUUGCUUCUCUGAUGUUAGCGGCGGACGGGUGAGUAACACGUGGAUAACCUACCUAUAAGACUGGGAUAACUUCGGGAAACCGGAGCUAAUACCGGAUAAUAUUUUGAACCGCAUGGUUCAAAAGUGAAAGACGGUCUUGCUGUCACUUAUAGAUGGAUCCGCGCUGCAUUAGCUAGUUGGUAAGGUAACGGCUUACCAAGGCAACGAUGCAUAGCCGACCUGAGAGGGUGAUCGGCCACACUGGAACUGAGACACGGUCCAGACCCCUACGGGAGGCAGCAGUAGGGAAUCUUCCGCAAUGGGCGAAAGCCUGACGGAGCAACGCCGCGUGAGUGAUGAAGGUCUUCGGAUCGUAAAACUCUGUUAUUAGGGAAGAACAUAUGUGUAAGUAACUGUGCACAUCUUGACGGUACCUAAUCAGAAAGCCACGGCUAACUACGUGCCAGCAGCCGCGGUAAUACGUAUGUGGCAAGCGUUAUCCGGAAUUAUUGGGCGUAAAGCCGCGCGUAGGCGGUUUUUUAAGUCUGAUGUGAAAGCCCACGGCUCAACCGUGGAGGGUCAUUGGAAACUGGAAAACUUGAGUGCAGAAGAGGAAAGUGGAAUUCCAUGUGUAGCGGUGAAAUGCGCAGAGAUAUGGAGGAACACCAGUGGCGAAGGCGACUUUCUGGUCUGUAACUGACGCUGAUGUGCGAAAGCGUGGGGAUCAAACAGGAUUAGAUACCCUGGUAGUCCACGCCGUAAACGAUGAGUGCUAAGUGUUAGGGGGUUUCCGCCCCUUAGUGCUGCAGCUAACGCAUUAAGCACUCCGCCUGGGGAGUACGACCGCAAGGUUGAAACUCAAAGGAAUUGACGGGGACCCGCACAAGCGGUGGAGCAUGUGGUUUAAUUCGAAGCAACGCGAAGAACCUUACCAAAUCUUGACAUCCUUUGACAACUCUAGAGAUAGAGCCUUCCCCUUCGGGGGACAAAGUGACAGGUGGUGCAUGGUUGUCGUCAGCUCGUGUCGUGAGAUGUUGGGUUAAGUCCCGCAACGAGCGCAACCCUUAAGCUUAGUUGCCAUCAUUAAGUUGGGCACUCUAAGUUGACUGCCGGUGACAAACCGGAGGAAGGUGGGGAUGACGUCAAAUCAUCAUGCCCCUUAUGAUUUGGGCUACACACGUGCUACAAUGGACAAUACAAAGGGCAGCGAAACCGCGAGGUCAAGCAAAUCCCAUAAAGUUGUUCUCAGUUCGGAUUGUAGUCUGCAACUCGACUACAUGAAGCUGGAAUCGCUAGUAAUCGUAGAUCAGCAUGCUACGGUGAAUACGUUCCCGGGUCU